GAUGAACGCUAGCGGCAGGCUUAAUACAUGCAAGUCGAGGGGCAGCGCGGGUAGCAAUACCUGGCGGCGACCGGCAAACGGGUGCGGAACACGUACGCAACCUUCCCAAAACUGGUGAAUAGCCCUCCGAAAGGAGGAUUAAUACACCGUACCAUACCGAGGAGGCAUCUCCUUGUUAUUAUAGUAGCAAUACGGUUUUGGAUGGGCGUGCGCCUGAUUAGGUAGUUGGCGGGGUAACGGCCCACCAAGCCUACGAUCAGUAACUGGUGUGAGAGCACGACCAGUCACACGGGCACUGAGACACGGGCCCGACUCCUACGGGAGGCAGCAGUAAGGAAUAUUGGUCAAUGGACGCAAGUCUGAACCAGCCAUGCCGCGUGAAGGAUGAAGGUCCUCUGGAUU
Molecule: ribosomal RNA, 402 nt
Filed under: uncultured bacterium
Lineage: Bacteria
Description: bacterial SSU rRNA
Rfam family: Bacterial small subunit ribosomal RNA
Source: RNAcentral